RNAcentral lists this ribosomal RNA (225 nucleotides) under uncultured Streptococcus sp. RNAcentral describes it as "partial 16S ribosomal RNA". It matches the Rfam family "Bacterial small subunit ribosomal RNA", at positions 114 to 334 of the family's 1533-position model. The record is from RNAcentral. Lineage: Bacteria; Bacillati; Bacillota; Bacilli; Lactobacillales; Streptococcaceae.
CGCGUAGGUAACCUGCCUGGUAGCGGGGGAUAACUAUUGGAAACGAUAGCUAAUACCGCAUAACAGUAGAUGUUGCAUGACAUUUGCUUAAAAGGUGCAAUUGCAUCACUACCAGAUGGACCUGCGUUGUAUUAGCUAGUUGGUGGGGUAACGGCUCACCAAGGCGACGAUACAUAGCCGACCUGAGAGGGUGAUCGGCCACACUGGGACUGAGACACGGCCCAG